GCGGUGUUGCCGAGUGUAGUCCGGCCCAGCAUGGAGGACUCUCGAUCCUCCGACCCGGGUUCAAAUCCCGGCCGGAGCACCA
This 82-nucleotide transfer RNA is filed under the name Candidatus Thorarchaeota archaeon. Its description in RNAcentral is "tRNA-Glu". The stretch from base 13 to 71 matches the Rfam family "tRNA", at positions 9 to 63 of the family's 71-position model. From Rfam's summary of the family: Transfer RNA (tRNA) molecules are approximately 80 nucleotides in length. Their secondary structure includes four short double-helical elements and three loops (D, anti-codon, and T loops). The record is from RNAcentral. Lineage: Archaea; Promethearchaeati; Candidatus Thorarchaeota.